AGAUUGAACGCUGGCGGCAUGCCUUACACAUGCAAGUCGAACGGUAGAGUAGCAAUACUUGAGAGUGGCGAACGGGUGAGUAAUAUAUCGGAACGUGCCCAGUCGUGGGGGAUAACGUAGAGAAAUUUACGCUAAUACCGCAUACGAUCUAAGGAUGAAAGCGGGGGACCGUAAGGCCUCGCGCGAUUGGAGCGGCUGAUAUCAGAUUAGGUUGUUGGUGAGGUAAAAGCUCACCAAGCCGACGAUCUGUAGCUGGUUUGAGAGAACGACCAGCCACACUGGGACUGAGACACGGCCCAGACUCCGUACGGGAGGCAGCAGUGGGGAAUUUGGACAAUGGGCGAAAGCCUGAUCCGGCAAUGCCGCGUGCAGGAAGAAGGCCUUCGGGUUGUAAACUGCUUUUGUACGGAACGAAACGUCUGCUUUAAUACUAGGUAGGACUAAGUG
Molecule: ribosomal RNA, 447 nt
Filed under: uncultured soil bacterium
Lineage: Bacteria
Description: bacterial SSU rRNA
Rfam family: Bacterial small subunit ribosomal RNA
Source: RNAcentral